Molecule: ribosomal RNA, 1035 nt
Filed under: Escherichia coli
Lineage: Bacteria; Pseudomonadati; Pseudomonadota; Gammaproteobacteria; Enterobacterales; Enterobacteriaceae
Description: partial 23S ribosomal RNA
Rfam family: Bacterial large subunit ribosomal RNA
Source: RNAcentral
AUCCAUAGGUUAAUGAGGCGAACCGGGGGAACUGAAACAUCUAAGUACCCCGAGGAAAAGAAAUCAACCGAGAUUCCCCCAGUAGCGGCGAGCGAACGGGGAGGAGCCCAGAGCCUGAAUCAGUGUGUGUGUUAGUGGAAGCGUCUGGAAAGGCGCGCGAUACAGGGUGACAGCCCCGUACACAAAAAUGCACAUAUUGUGAGCUCGAUGAGUAGGGCGGGACACGUGGUAUCCUGUCUGAAUAUGGGGGGACCAUCCUCCAAGGCUAAAUACUCCUGACUGACCGAUAGUGAACCAGUACCGUGAGGGAAAGGCGAAAAGAACCCCGGCGAGGGGAGUGAAAAAGAACCUGAAACCGUGUACGUACAAGCAGUGGGAGCCUCUUAAUGGGGUGACUGCGUACCUUUUGUAUAAUGGGUCAGCGACUUAUAUUCUGUAGCAAGGUUAACCGAAUAGGGGAGCCGAAGGGAAACCGAGUCUUAACUGGGCGUUAAGUUGCAGGGUAUAGACCCGAAACCCGGUGAUCUAGCCAUGGGCAGGUUGAAGGUUGGGUAACACUAACUGGAGGACCGAACCGACUAAUGUUGAAAAAUUAGCGGAUGACUUGUGGCUGGGGGUGAAAGGCCAAUCAAACCGGGAGAUAGCUGGUUCUCCCCGAAAGCUAUUUAGGUAGCGCCUCGUGAAUUCAUCUCCGGGGGUAGAGCACUGUUUCGGCAAGGGGGUCAUCCCGACUUACCAACCCGAUGCAAACUGCGAAUACCGGAGAAUGUUAUCACGGGAGACACACGGCGGGUGCUAACGUCCGUCGUGAAGAGGGAAACAACCCAGACCGCCAGCUAAGGUCCCAAAGUCAUGGUUAAGUGGGAAACGAUGUGGGAAGGCCCAGACAGCCAGGAUGUUGGCUUAGAAGCAGCCAUCAUUUAAAGAAAGCGUAAUAGCUCACUGGUCGAGUCGGCCUGCGCGGAAGAUGUAACGGGGCUAAACCAUGCACCGAAGCUGCGGCAGCGACACUAUGUGUUGUUGGGUAGGGGAGCG